UUAUAUGAGAGUUUGAUCCUGGCUCAGGACGAACGCUGGCGGCGUGCCUAAUACAUGCAAGUCGAACGCACGAAGUUGAAGAGCUUGCUCUUUAACCAAGUGAGUGGCGGACGGGUGAGUAAC
This 123-nucleotide ribosomal RNA is filed under the name Carnobacterium maltaromaticum. RNAcentral's name for it is "partial 16S ribosomal RNA". It matches the Rfam family "Bacterial small subunit ribosomal RNA", at positions 1 to 114 of the family's 1533-position model. Lineage: Bacteria; Bacillati; Bacillota; Bacilli; Lactobacillales; Carnobacteriaceae. The record is from RNAcentral.